GCGGGUAUAGUGAAAUGGCAUCACAACAGUCUCCAAAACUGUUAUUCUAGGUUCGAAUCCUAGUACCCGUG
RNAcentral lists this transfer RNA (71 nucleotides) under Candidatus Tagabacteria bacterium CG09_land_8_20_14_0_10_41_14. Its description in RNAcentral is "tRNA-Trp". It matches the Rfam family "tRNA". Rfam says of the family: Transfer RNA (tRNA) molecules are approximately 80 nucleotides in length. Their secondary structure includes four short double-helical elements and three loops (D, anti-codon, and T loops). The record is from RNAcentral. Lineage: Bacteria; Candidatus Tagaibacteriota. RNAcentral also lists the same sequence under 2 other names.